GAACGCUGGCGGCGUGCUUAACACAUGCAAGUCGAACGGAAAGGCCCUGCUUUUGUGGGGUGCUCGAGUGGCGAACGGGUGAGUAACACGUGAGUAACCUGCCCUUGACUUUGGGAUAACUUCAGGAAACUGGGGCUAAUACCGGAUAGGAGCUCCUGCUGCAUGGUGGGGGUUGGAAAGUUUCGGCGGUUGGGGAUGGACUCGCGGCUUAUCAGCUUGUUGGUGGGGUAGUGGCUUACCAAGGCUUUGACGGGUAGCCGGCCUGAGAGGGUGACCGGCCACAUUGGGACUGAGAUACGGCCCAGACUCCUACGGGAGGCAGCAGUGGGGAAUAUUGCACAAUGGGCGGAAGCCUGAUGCAGCAACGCCGCGUGCGGGAUGACGGCCUUCGGGUUGUAAACCGCUUUCGCCUGUGACGAAGCGUGAGUGACGGUAAUGGGUAAAGAAGCACCGGCUAACUACGUGCCAGCAGCCGCGGUGAUACGUAGGGUGCGAGCGUUGUCCGGAUUUAUUGGGCGUAAAGGGCUCGUAGGUGGUUGAUCGCGUCGGAAGUGUAAUCUUGGGGCUUAACCCUGAGCGUGCUUUCGAUACGGGUUGACUUGAGGAAGGUAGGGGAGAAUGGAAUUCCUGGUGGAGCGGUGGAAUGCGCAGAUAUCAGGAGGAACACCAGUGGCGAAGGCGGUUCUCUGGGCCUUUCCUGACGCUGAGGAGCGAAAGCGUGGGGAGCGAACAGGCUUAGAUACCCUGGUAGUCCACGCUGUAAACGGUGGGUACUAGGUGUGGGGUCCAUUCCACGGGUUCCGUGCCGUAGCUAACGCUUUAAGUACCCCGCCUGGGGAGUACGGCCGCAAGGCUAAAACCCAAAGGAAUUGACGGGGCCCCGCACAAGCGGCGGAGCAUGCGGAUUAAUUCGAUGCAACGCGUAGAACCUUACCUGGGUUUGACAUGGAUCGGGAGUGCUCAGAGAUGGGUGUGCCUCUUUUGGGGUCGGUUCACAGGUGGUGCAUGGCUGUCGUCAGCUCGUGUCGUGAGAUGUUGGGUUAAGUCCCGCAACGAGCGCAACCCUUGUUCACUGUUGCCAGCACGUUAUGGUGGGGACUCAGUGGAGACCGCCGGGGUCAACUCGGAGGAAGGUGGGGAUGACGUCAAGUCAUCAUGCCCCUUAUGUCCAGGGCUUCACGCAUGCUACAAUGGCUGGUACAGAGAGUGGCGAGCCUGUGAGGGUGAGCGAAUCUCGGAAAGCCGGUCUCAGUUCGGAUUGGGGUCUGCAACUCGGCCUCAUGAAGUCGGAGUCGCUAGUAAUCGCAGAUCAGCAACGCUGCGGUGAAUACGUUCCCGGGGCUUGUACACACCGCCCGUCAAGUCAUGAAAGUUGGUAACACCCGAAGCCGGUGGCCUAACCGUUGUGGGGGAGCCGUCGAAGGUGGGACUGGUGAUUAGG
Molecule: ribosomal RNA, 1441 nt
Filed under: uncultured organism
Description: 16S ribosomal RNA
Rfam family: Bacterial small subunit ribosomal RNA
Source: RNAcentral